RNAcentral lists this long non-coding RNA (287 nucleotides) under Lathyrus oleraceus (garden pea). RNAcentral's name for it is "Pisum sativum (pea) long non-coding RNA (PSAT_LNC009974)". Lineage: Eukaryota; Viridiplantae; Streptophyta; Magnoliopsida; Fabales; Fabaceae. The record is from RNAcentral.
GAGGAUUAGGGCCCUCAUGCCUACGUAUCCUCAUAGUGCAAUGAGGAAUUUAGAGCUCCGUAGUUUGAAGAACUAGUGGUGGGAGAUGAAAAGAAGUUGUGAUAGGAAUAUGGUCUGAAUCAAAGAUUAUAUGAUUUGAACUCCAACAAGGGGUGAAAAUGUGAACCCAAGAGUAAAAAGGUAUGAACCAACAAGUGAGGGGUCUAAGACAUGAUAUCACUGUAUUGGAACAACCGAAAAGAAAGGGUUGCCUACACACGACUGCAAAGUAAGUAAGGAGAUGUUUG